RNAcentral lists this ribosomal RNA (677 nucleotides) under Triticum aestivum (bread wheat). Its description in RNAcentral is "partial small subunit ribosomal RNA". Lineage: Eukaryota; Viridiplantae; Streptophyta; Magnoliopsida; Poales; Poaceae. The record is from RNAcentral.
CAUACCAUACCAGCCCAUUGGACACAAAGUUUUCCAGUCAGACAAGUGGACUACAGUUAAAUGCAUCUGAAGUAAUAAGGAAGCAAAUAUAUGAAUCUUUGCGCUUCCACUGCACAGAAAUCUUGACAAAAAUGAUGAUGUUCAUAAGGUGCUCUUCAUCAUGGAAUCAUCCCUUCGUCUCGUAGUUGGUUCACUAACUAAGGCACAUGUCCAUAACUGAUAUUGAUGCAACAAAAACUUAUCGACAAGGUAUGUUGCAGUUGAAAUAUGGGAAUGUUAAUGUGAUCAAGCCAGCUAUUUAUUAAACUCUUUAUUUUGGCAUUAAUCAAGUAGUAAUAGUUAACUAGGUUUGCAAUAGUUAAAAUCUGCUUAUAUAUAAUUGACUGAAGUGCAUCAUAGGUCCUCAAACUAUUUCAGAAGUGUCAUGUAGGUCCUCGAACUAUGAAAAUCGCUAUCUAGGUCCUCAAAGUGCAAUAUGUGUGUCAUCCAGGUCCUCAAACUAUUUCAGAAGUGUCAUGUAGGUCCUCAAACUAUGAAAAUCGCCAUCUAGGUCCUCAAAGUGCAAUAUGUGUGUCAUCCAGGUCCUCAAACUAUUUCAAAAGUGUCACGUAGGUCCUUGAUCUAUUUUAGAGGUGUCACAAAUAUACACACUUAUUGCACUUCAAGGAUUUUCGAGG